AUAGUAUCUCUAAAUUCCUCCGCACUUCGUCUAGAAAAUUGUUCCCCCAAUUUUUCCCACCUUGUUAACACCAAAUUAAAGUUCCCCCCAACUACCCAUUUCCCACACCAAGUAUUCUUACAAGCCUCCAACUCCCUCCAUAAACCCCCCAUCUCAACUCUAGAACCCCUACAGUACACCCCUGUAAACACCCAAUGGAGUCCGCCCCCAAUAUCACAUCCCUACACCUCAAAUGGUCCUCUCUCCACGUUACUAAGAUGCCCCCCGCAGUCUCAAUCGCCGAGGAUCUCUCCCAUUCGACCAAGUCCACCUCCCCCCAUCAAUGGAAGAUCCACCAAUCUCAAAGAUUCAAUAGUAUCUCUAAAUUCCUCCGCACUUCGUCUAGAAAAUUGUUCCCCCAAUUUUUCCCACCUUGUUAACACCAAAUUAAAGUUCCCCCCAACUACCCAUUUCCCACACCAAGUAUUCUUACAAGCCUCCAACUCCCUCCAUAAACCCCCCAUCUCAACUCUAGAACCCCUACAGUACACCCCUGUAAACACCCAAUGGAGUCCGCCCCCAAUAUCACAUCCCUACACCUCACAUGGUCCUCUCUCCACGUUACUAAAAUGCCCCCCGCAGUCUCAAUUGCCGAAAUAAAUUUCUAACCGACCUCCUUUACCUUCCACAAGCUAGAAUAACCACAUUGUUGAUUUCUUCCAUUUUUGCUUCUUGAAGGCAACACACCUCCGAUUCCCACCGCCCCAAACAACCUCUAAUAAACAUUCUCUUUUUUUUUUUUUUU
Molecule: long non-coding RNA, 784 nt
Filed under: Carica papaya (papaya)
Lineage: Eukaryota; Viridiplantae; Streptophyta; Magnoliopsida; Brassicales; Caricaceae
Description: long non-coding RNA (CPAP_LNC009795)
Source: RNAcentral